AUUGAACGCUGGCGGCAGGCCUAACACAUGCAAGUCGAGCGGAUGAAGGGAGCUUGCUCCUGGAUUCAGCGGCGGACGGGUGAGUAAUGCCUAGGAAUCUGCCUGGUAGUGGGGGAUAACGUCCGGACACGGGCGCUAAUACCGCAUACGUCCUGAGGGAGAAAGUGGGGGAUCUUCGGACCUCACGCUAUCAGAUGAGCCUAGGUCGGAUUAGCUAGUUGGUGGGGUAAAGGCCUACCAAGGCGACGAUCCGUAACUGGUCUGCGAGGAUGAUCAGUCACACUGGAACUGAGACACGGUCCAGACUCCUACGGGAGGCAGCAGUGGGGAAUAUUGGACAAUGGGCGAAAGCCUGAUCCAGCCAUGCCGCGUGUGUGAAGAAGGUCUUCGGAUUGUAAAGCACUUUAAGUUGGGAGGAAGGGCAGUAAGUUAAUACCUUGCUGUUUUGACGUUACCAACAGAAUAAGCACCGGCUAACUUCGUG
RNAcentral lists this ribosomal RNA (484 nucleotides) under uncultured bacterium. Its description in RNAcentral is "partial 16S ribosomal RNA". It matches the Rfam family "Bacterial small subunit ribosomal RNA", at positions 30 to 507 of the family's 1533-position model. The record is from RNAcentral.